RNAcentral lists this ribosomal RNA (461 nucleotides) under uncultured bacterium. RNAcentral describes it as "bacterial SSU rRNA". It matches the Rfam family "Bacterial small subunit ribosomal RNA", at positions 112 to 556 of the family's 1533-position model. The record is from RNAcentral.
UACUAGUGGUAAUCUACCUUUAACUUGGGAUAACGAUUGGAAACGAUCGCUAAUACCGAAUGUGGUGAACUAAAGAAUCUUUAGUUUAUUAAAGUAGGGGAUCGUAAGACCUUGCGGUUAAAGAGGAGCCCAUGAGAUAUCAGCUAGUUGGUGUGGUAAAGGCGCACCAAGGCUAAGACGUCUAGGCGGAUUGAGAGAUUGACCGCCAACACUGGGACUGAGAACUGCCCAGACUCCUACGGGAGGCUGCAGUCGAGAAUCAUUCGCAAUGGGCGAAAGCCUGACGAUGCGACGCCGUGUGAGCGAAGAAGGCCUUAGGGUUGUAAAGCUCUUUCGCUUGGGAAUAAGAAAAGCCGGCUAAUAUCCGGCUAAUUUGAACGUACCAGGUAAAGAAGCACCGGCUAACUCCGUGCCAGCAGCUGCGGUAAUACGGAGGGUGCAAGCAUUAAUCGGAUUUAUUG